RNAcentral lists this ribosomal RNA (479 nucleotides) under uncultured bacterium. RNAcentral describes it as "partial 16S ribosomal RNA". It matches the Rfam family "Bacterial small subunit ribosomal RNA", at positions 28 to 507 of the family's 1533-position model. The record is from RNAcentral.
GAUGAACGCUGGCGGCGUGCUUAACACAUGCAAGUCGAACGAAGCACCUUGAUUCGAUUCUUCGGAUGAAGAUCUUGGUGACCGAGUGGCGGACGGGUGAGUAACGCGUGGGUAACCUGCCUCAUACAGGGGGAUAACAGUUAGAAAUGACUGCUAAUACCGCAUAAGACCACAGCACCGCAUGGUGCAGGGGUAAAAACUCCGGUGGUAUGAGAUGGACCCGCGUCUGAUUAGGUAGUUGGUGGGGUAACGGCCUACCAAGCCGACGAUCAGUAGCCGACCUGAGAGGGUGACCGGCCACAUUGGGACUGAGACACGGCCCAAACUCCUACGGGAGGCAGCAGUGGGGAAUAUUGCACAAUGGGGGAAACCCUGAUGCAGCGACGCCGCGUGAGCGAUGAAGUAUUUCGGUAUGUAAAGCUCUAUCAGCAGGGAAGAAAAUGACGGUACCUGACUAAGAAGCACCGGCUAAAUACGUG